UACACUCCUGCGGGAGGCAGCAGUGAGGAAUAUUGGACAAUGGGUGGAAGCCUGAUCCAGCCAUCCCGCGUGCAGGAAGACGGCCCUAUGGGUUGUAAACUGCUUUUAUCUGGGGAUAAACCUACUUACGUGUAAGUAGCUGAAGGUACCAGAAGAAUAAGCACCGGCUAACUCCGUGCCAGCAGCCGCGGUAAUACGGAGGGUGCAAGCGUUAUCCGGAUUUAUUGGGUUUAAAGGGUCCGUAGGCGGACUGAUAAGUCAGUGGUGAAAUCCGACAGCUUAACUGUCGAACUGCCAUUGAUACUGUUAGUCUUGAGUAAGGUUGAAGUGGCUGGAAUAAGUAGUGUAGCGGUGAAAUGCAUAGAUAUUACUUAGAACACCAAUUGCGAAGGCAGGUCACUAAGUCUUAACUGACGCUGAUGGACGAAAGCGUGGGGAGCGAACAGGAUUAGAAACCCUUGUAGUCCCA
RNAcentral lists this ribosomal RNA (469 nucleotides) under uncultured organism. RNAcentral describes it as "partial 16S ribosomal RNA". It matches the Rfam family "Bacterial small subunit ribosomal RNA", at positions 332 to 797 of the family's 1533-position model. The record is from RNAcentral.